UUGUACUCAAUAUACUUCCUAUUUGCAUACAUACAUACAUAUACACAUACAUAUGUGUAUGUGUAUAUGUAUGUAUGUAUGUAUGCAAAUGGGAAGUAAAUUGAGUACAA
RNAcentral lists this microRNA precursor (110 nucleotides) under Podarcis lilfordi (Lilford's wall lizard). Lineage: Eukaryota; Metazoa; Chordata; Lepidosauria; Squamata; Lacertidae. The record is from RNAcentral.